AUGCACGCUGGCGGCGUGCCUAAUACAUGCAAGUCGAGCGAACGGACGAGAAGCUUGCUUCUCUGAUGUUAGCGGCGGACGGGUGAGUAACACGUGGAUAACCUACCUAUAAGACUGGGAUAACUUCGGGAAACCGGAGCUAAUACCGGAUGAUAUUUUGAACCGCAUGGUUCAAAAGUGAAAGACGGUCUUGCUGUCACUUAUAGAUGGAUCCGCGCUGCAUUAGCUAGUUGGUAAGGUAACGGCUUACCAAGGCAACGAUGCAUAGCCGACCUGAGAGGGUGAUCGGCCACACUGGAACUGAGACACGGUCCAGACUCCUACGGGAGGCAGCAGUAGGGAAUCUUCCGCAAUGGGCGAAAGCCUGACGGAGCAACGCCGCGUGAGUGAUGAAGGUCUUCGGAUCGUAAAACUCUGUUAUUAGGGAAGAACAUAUGUGUAAGUAACUGUGCACAUCUUGACGGUACCUAAUCAGAAAGCCACGGCUAGCUACGUG
RNAcentral lists this ribosomal RNA (496 nucleotides) under uncultured bacterium. Its description in RNAcentral is "partial 16S ribosomal RNA". It matches the Rfam family "Bacterial small subunit ribosomal RNA", at positions 29 to 507 of the family's 1533-position model. The record is from RNAcentral.